This is a long non-coding RNA of Polypterus senegalus (gray bichir), 400 nucleotides long. RefSeq lists it as uncharacterized. The record is from RefSeq and is a predicted model, not a curated record. The transcript is spliced from 3 exons. NCBI's taxonomy places the organism in Eukaryota, Metazoa, Chordata, Cladistia, Polypteriformes, Polypteridae.
GGCAACAUUUUUCCAGUCUUCAACUGUCCAAUUUUGGUUCAUGGCAGCUUUGGACACAACACAUAAAUGAACCCUGAAUGUCACUGUCUAACAACACAUAAAUCACAGGGUCAACUGCAGAGAGAGACAACACACAUACUCAUGGAAGAUUCACUAUGGAGAAAGCUGCUUCUACUUUUCAACCCAGCCAGGACUGUAUUUUUCUGUACUUCAAUACAGAAGCUCACAGAGCAUUUCUCAUCGAAAACGUAAAGGAUUCUUCCAUCAUCUCUACACUGCAGUUACUGUAAUAAGGCUCAAAAAAAGUGAGAAAAGUGAGUACCGGGACUUGCUGAAAGAGUUUACAAUAGAUAAUCACCACUAUCUUUCAUAGUUAUUCUUCACAACUCUGUAGACCACU